Molecule: ribosomal RNA, 119 nt
Organism: Gossypium arboreum
Lineage: Eukaryota; Viridiplantae; Streptophyta; Magnoliopsida; Malvales; Malvaceae
Source: Rfam
GGGUGCGAUCAUACCAGGACUAAUGCAACGGAUCCCAUCAGAAAUCUGCAGUGAAGCGUGCUUGGGUGAGAGUAGUACUAGGAUGGGUGACCUUCUGGAAAGUCCUCGUGUUGCACCCC